GUGGGGAAUUUUGGACAAUGGGCGCAAGCCUGAUCCAGCAAUGCCGCGUGCAGGAAGAAGGCCUUCGGGUUGUAAACUGCUUUUGUACGGAACGAAACGGUCCGGGUUAAUACCCUGGGCUAAUGACGGUACCGUAAGAAUAAGCACCGGCUAACUACGUGCCAGCAGCCGCGGUAAUACGUAGGGUGCAAGCGUUAAUCGGAAUUACUGGGCGUAAAGCGUGCGCAGGCGGUUUUGUAAGACAGGCGUGAAAUCCCCGGGCUCAACCUGGGAAUUGCGCUUGUGACUGCAAGGCUGGAGUGCGGCAGAGGGGGAUGGAAUUCCGCGUGUAGCAGUGAAAUGCGUAGAUAUGCGGAGGAACACCGAUGGCGAAGGCAAUCCCCUGGGCCUGCACUGACGCUCAUGCACGAAAGCGUGGGGAGCAAACAGGAUUAGAUACCCGAGUAGUCC
RNAcentral lists this ribosomal RNA (450 nucleotides) under uncultured bacterium. RNAcentral describes it as "bacterial SSU rRNA". It matches the Rfam family "Bacterial small subunit ribosomal RNA", at positions 354 to 796 of the family's 1533-position model. The record is from RNAcentral.